AUUGAACGCUGGCGGCAGGCCUAACACAUGCAAGUCGAACGAGUGGCGGACGGGUGAAUAAUGUCUGGGAAACUGCCCGAUGGAGGGGGAUCACUACUGGAAACGGUAGCUAAUACCGCAUACCAUCGGAUGUGCCCAGAUGGGUUGAGCUAGUAGGUGGGGUAACGGCUCACCUAGGCGACGAUCCCUAGCUGGUCUGAGAGGAUGACCAGCCACACUGGGACUGAGACACGGCCCAGACUCCUACGGGAGGCAGCAGUGGGGAAUAUUGCACAAUGGGCGCAAGCCUGAUACAGCCAUGCCGCGUGUAUGAAGAAGGCCUUCGGGUUGUAAAGUACUUUCAGCGGGGAGGCGUUACUGACAGAAGAAGCACCGGCUAACUCCGUGCCAGCAGCCGCGGUAAUAC
This 406-nucleotide ribosomal RNA is filed under the name uncultured bacterium. RNAcentral describes it as "partial 16S ribosomal RNA". It matches the Rfam family "Bacterial small subunit ribosomal RNA", at positions 30 to 526 of the family's 1533-position model. The record is from RNAcentral.